Molecule: long non-coding RNA, 5910 nt
Filed under: Sus scrofa (pig)
Lineage: Eukaryota; Metazoa; Chordata; Mammalia; Artiodactyla; Suidae
Description: lncRNA (ENSSSCG00005013130.1)
Source: RNAcentral
UUGCUAUUUCUUGGGCCGCUCCCGCGGCAUAUGGAGGUUCCCAGGCGAGGGGUCGAAUCGGAGCUGUAGCCCCCGGCCUACACCAGAGCCACCGCAACACGGGAUCCGAGCCGCAUCUGCAACCUACACCACAGCUCACGGCAACGCCGGAUCAUUAACCCACUGAGCAAAGGCAGGGAUCGAACCCGCAACCUCAUGGUUCCUAGUCGGAUUCGUUAACCACUGUGCCACGACGGGAACUCCAGGAGACACUUUCAAUGUGAUAAAAGACACCUGCAAACCAGCCACAGCCAAGUUCACACCAACAGGGACCAGGCCAAGGACCCCAGGCCCGGUCAAUCUGUUCAUCACUGUCCCACAGCUCCAGCCACAUCUGUAGGGACGACAGAAAACAAAGCAAAAGCCACCAAGACGAGAAAGAAGAGUGAUCCCGCCUCUGUGUACAAGGCCUGAUCAUCUACAUGGAAAAUCCCAGGAAAUGUAACAAACCGCUAUAUCAUCUAGGUGAAUUCAGUAAUGUUCCAAGAAUAUAGAGUCAAUAUGCAAAAUCAAUUAUUAUUUCUUCUUCUUUUUCUUUUUUUAGGGCCACACCUACAGCAUGUGGAAGUUCCCAGGAUAGGGGUUGAAUCGGAGCUACAGCUGCUGGCCUACACCACAGCCACAGCCAUGCAGGAUCCGAGACACAUCUGCGACCUACACCACAGCUCGAGGCAACACCGGAUCCUCAACCCACUGAGUGAGGCCAGGGAUCGAACCCGCAUCCUCAUGGAUGCUGGCUGGGUUCGUUAGCACUGAGCCACGACGGGAACUCCUCAAUUGUUAUUUCUAUAUUCUGGUAACAUGCAAAUGGAAAUGAAACUUAAGUAUUGUUUACAAUGGCACUCAAAAACAACUGGUUUAUGGGCAUAAAUUUGAUAAAAAAUGUGUAAGAGCAGCUACACAGAAACACUGCUGAGAGGAGUUCAAGAUCCAAAUACUGGAAACACUCGCUGCAAUGGAGCCUGUCUCAACAGGGACACACGCCCGUGGCGCAUCCCUAAUCCACGUGACUACAUUAGAGGACUCGGCAUCACCACAUUAAUCUCUCCCAGAGUUCCCGCUGUGGUGCAGCAGGUUAAGGGCCCUGCGUUGUCUCUGCAGCAGUGAGGGUUCCAUCCCUGGCCUGGUGCAGUGGGCUAAAGAUCUGGUGUUGCCACAGCUCUGCAGCUCCAAUUUGACCCCUAGCUUGGGAACAUCCAUAUGCUGCAGAUGGGGCCCUAAAAAAAAAGGAAAAAAAAUGGAAAAAAACCUAGAAUAGCCAAAGCAAUUUUUAAAAAGAAAAACAAGCAUGGAGGAUUUACACACUCUAACCCGAAGAUUUUUUGUUUGUUUGUUUGUUUGUUUAGGGCCACACCCUCGGCACACAGAGGUUCCCAGGCUAGGGGUCUAAUUGGAGCUGUAGCCACCAGCCUACCCACAGGCACAGCAACUCGGCAACACAGCAAGCCGCGUCCGUGACCUACACCACAGCUCACCGCAAUGCCAGAUCCUUAACCCACUGAGCGAGGCCAGGGAUGGAACCCACAACCUCAUGGUUCCUAGUCGGGUUCAUUAACCGCUGAGCCACGACAGGAACUCCUCUAACCCGAAGAUUUAUUAUCAAGUCACAAGACUGUGUGGACUGCUGAACAGAUAAACAGAUCAAUGUUAACAGGAUCCAGAAAUAGACUCUCACAAACACACUCAAAUGAUUUCUGACCAGAUGCCAAAGCAAUUCGAUGGGGAAAAGAAAGUUUUUUAACAAAUAGUGCUGGGUCAACUGGUUAUUCAAAUAGAAUUAACAAGUCAACCUCGACUCACAUCACAUGGAAAAUUAAUUAGAGAUGGCUUAUGGAGCCAACAGAAAAAUGGAAUCUACAAACCUUCUAUACGAAACUACAGGAACCCAUCUUUGUGACUCCUGGUUAGGCGAAAGCUUUUAAAUCAGACACAGAAAGCAUGAACCAAAAAAGAAAAACCACUGGCUGAUAAAUUGAACGUCAUUAAUAUUAAAAACUUCUGCUCAUUACAAUACAUCAUUAUGAUGGAUAUAAAUCCUACAUAUUUGUCAAAACCCACAGAACAACGUAUCACAGAGAGUAGACUCUAAAACAUGCAAAAAGAGGUCUCCUGGUGGCUCAGCAGGUUGAGGAUCUGGCAUUGUCACUACAGUGGCUCGGGUCAAUGCUGUGGCUUGCAUUCGAUCCCUGGCCUGGGAACUUCUGCAUGCUGUGGGUGUGGCCAAAAAAAAAUCUGAAAGUAGGCUAAAACAUGCAAAAAAAAUCAAUACCACCAACCAGAAGGUCAGGGAUCUCAGGAUGGAAAGCAGACCACAACCACAGACUCUCACUCUAUCACAACCUGGGACACAAACACACUGAAGGGAACAGGAAGACAGUGUUCUGACUAGAAAAUGUAAAACCAACGAUAAAAAGAAACCGCAAAUAAACACGGUGGUCAAGAUGGCGAAUUUGCCCCUCAGGAUGGGGGUCUAUGGGGGAGCGAUUCUGAAACUGCUUUUCAUGUGCACUGGGGUGGGACAAACACGUAAACCAUGGCCAUGGUGGUGAGAAGGCCACACACGAGCACUUUUACUACAGAGUCUAGGUUACAGACUCACACCUGUCCAUCUGGUGAGGGGACUGCAGGCAAUGACAGCCCAGCCCCAGUGCCCACGCCCACUGCCAGAUCCUGGCUUCUCCAGCCCACUCUCCAGUGAAAGGAACCAGAGCUCCCUGGAGAAACGGCUGAGUCUAGGCCUGAGGCAGGGAUACAAGACUGAGUGAGCAGCUGGAGCAGUUGGCAGUGCCAGAAAGGAAAGAAGGGCUCAAAACAACUCAGGGCAGAGGGUGGCCUCCCAGUGGCCAAGGCUGGACCAAGGUGGGCAGACAAAGAGCGCAGAGCUGGUUCCCCUCCAAAGUGCAGACGAACGCCCACAAGUCCGUCCUUCAAACGGAAUCCAAACCGCCCCCGGGGAAGGACAGGACAGGAGAACUCUCCUUGGCAGACACCACCUGAACCAAGCGACCAGGACCAGGUGUGGAUGCCAGGUGCCCCUGACACGAUGUGGCUAGAGGGUCAUCUCACCUCUGGAGUCUUCGUCCCAAAAACCCACACCCCCGUCCAACCAUGAGAAAACACAUCAGACAAACGCAACAUCAGGGACAUGCUACAAAAACAGCCAAGCAGCCCUUCUCAAAACUGUCCGGGUCAUGAAAAGACAGGAUCCUGGCCAGCAUCCGGGGCACAAAGAGGACACGGGGGCAGCACAUGGCCUGACACCUGGAGUGCAGGGGACAGUAACGGAGCCUCAGUUUCCACAAACGCCCCUUGGUUGGCAACCUCCCUGUGAAUCUAAAACCAUUCCAAAAAUUUUAAAGUUAACUUUUUAAGACACCAUUAAUAAAAUGAACAGGCAAGUCAAAAAAUGGGAGCUACCAUCCCCAAUACAUCUAUCCGACCAACAGCAAGGGCCUUACAGCUUGACUUUUUUUUUUUUAAAGGCGACAGAUUUGACCAGACACUUCAGAAAAGAGGUUGGGGAGGGCGCCAGAGACGGACACACACGCUCGGCACAGCACUCAAGGAGAUGCAGGCUGAAGACAAGCCACUGGGCCCCAGAGCACACACGCAGGAAGGCGCUGCUCAGGGUCACACAAGACAGCCCGGAGACCAGCCAUCAGAAAAUGCCCACCACGCUGUGCGCGGCCAGGGGCACCCCGUGCCCGUGAGCUCUCACACAGAAACAGUGAAGAGCCCUGCCUGCGCUUCUGGCGGGGGCGGGGGAGGGGGGCAAAUCACCACAGUCCGGGCAGCUUAGACCAGACGCUGCUUCUCGCAGAACUAGGGGCUGGGAGGCCCAAGGUCAAGGUGCCGGCAGACCCGGCGUCUGGCGAGGGCCCUUCCUGGCCUGCAGACGGCCACCUUCUCACCGUCCUCAUGGCCUUUCCUUGGUGUGCGAGCAGGGGUCAUGUGAGCGGGGUGUGGGGAGGUCGCUCUGUCUUGCCCCUGCCCUCAGGGCACCGAUGCCAGCACGGGCCCCAGCUCACCCCGAUCACCUCCCAAAGGCUCCACCUCCAGACACCAUCACACUGGGGUCAUGGAUUUGGGGCGACAGAGCCAAUCGGCCCACAACACAGGGGAACCUUUAGGGAAGACAGAACUGUCCUGUCAUGAUGGGCGUGCAGGUGACAGUUGUACGCCUUUGUCAAAAUUGAUCAAACGGAGCCUGUGCAUUUCAUUUAUGUGAAUUACACGCACUAACUGAAUAAAUGCAAUUCAUUUUCUAUUUUGAAGAUCUCAUGGGAGCCAAACAGCUAAGUAAUGGAGCACGAGUUUCCACAAUGUAAUGCAGUUUGGUGAGAAUUUACACUGUACUGUGCGUUCUUGCACAGCUCAUUCUUCCUUAGAAAAAGUGGUUUCAAUGAAGAAGUCACUGUGAUUCUGCACAAGUAACACAUCACGAAGCGGGUGGAAUCACUCUGACCAGUCAACAGGGGCUGGGUGCUGGCUGGACAACCAUGUAAACGGGCUCCCUGGUAGGAAGCCUUGCCUGGAUGACCACUGCAGGGGGCGGUGGACGCCACAUACAUACCGCUCCUCCAGGCUUUGCGGCGGCUGUGGCUGGAGAGGGGGGGUCGCCAGCUUUAAAAAUCACAUGCGCUGGAGUUCCCAUUGUGGCGCAGCGGAAACGAAUCCAGCUAGGAACCAUGCGGUCGCAGGUUCGAUCCCUGGCCUCGCUCAGUGGGUUAAGGAUCUGGCAUUGCCGUGUGCUGUGGUGUAGCUCGCAGACAUGGGUCGGAUCUGGUGUUGCUGUGGCUGUGACAUAGGCUGGCGGCUACAGCUCCAAUUAGACCCCUAGCCUAGGAACCUCCAUACGCCCAGGGGGUGCAGCUCUAAAAGAUGAACAGACCAAAAAAAAAAAAAAAUCCCAUGUGCUGAUCUUGUUUCUCCCACUGCCCAGCACAGCACGGGAGGACCUGCUGGAUCUCCAGCCCCUCAGGGCAGGUUCCUGCCAGUCACUUUCUCAGCAAGCAAAGGGAGCAAUGUGGCUCUCAGGACAAAAGGAGAACUGUGUGUGGCCCUGUUCAUUAACAUGUUUCUCAACCCGAAAGUCCCAUCGUGCUGAUGGAGAACCGAUGGUGUACACAAUCUGACUGGAUGCAAAGUCUGUGUACGUGUAGGUGCUCCGUGGACUCCGCAGCCCUGAGAAGGUACUGAUGGGAGGACCCCCGGAACUCCCCAGGGGGUUCCUGGCCGUGGGGAUGCGGAAUUCUCAGUACUGUGGUGACUAGAGAUCAUUCUUCAAGUGAAUUACGCUUACCUUGCAGAACAGGGCGGUGCAGGGAGGGUCCUGGGGUGACCACCCUCCAAGGCACGUUUGCUCUGUCUUUGGGAGACGCACACCGGGGCGGGGUGGAGUGCGCGUGUGCCAGAAGAAACUUUCCGUAAAAUUCAGAUUUUAUUUCCUUCUAGGAGCUUCUGCAUUCAGAUUAUGGCUGAACAAGGCUGCUACGGGGGCGCGGGCUGAGGCGCAGAGGACGAGGCCCAGCGCUACCUCCAGCACCGCGGUGACCCUGAGAACACAGGACAAAGCCGGGCCACCUGAGCGCCCCGCCACCAGGGAGCUGCGUUUGCAGGAGCGCUGUGAGAAGCGCGUCCAAACCCCCCGAUCUUAAUGAACUUAAACUAGAACGUCAAUUAAAUCGUUCUGGUGACUACGCACACGAACCCCUGUUGGACGAGGCCUGACACUCCAGUGGCGAUCAGCGAGCUGAAAUGGGAAACCUCCUGGGACUCGCGGUUCCUCCCGCGCGUCCGGGGCGCCCUGAGCCGGUGGCGGGGCGAGGGGCACAGAGAGAAAGGGCGGCCAAACCCCGCCGCCCUGACUGC